GCUACGUCACAUGGUUAGACAGUCCCCCGCUCACUGCAGCGCUAGAUAGAAUUUCGUGGAAUAACACAAAUAUGCAAAAAAUAUAAACGUUCUGUCACAGCGAAAAUACUAAAUUUGGGAAGUCCAAUCGAUUGUGACAUUUGGCAUAUAAAUUGUAUGUGACACAUUUGCGUCGCAGGUUCACAAUUUUUACAUUUUCUGAGAUCUCUGCCAAGAAAGGAAGAAAGGAGCCGAUCUAAUCCCGCCCCCCACUUUAAACUUUCAACGCCAUUGGACAUAAUUUCACCCAGGCUCGUCACCAGUUUCAUAAUAUUCGGGGCUCAGUCCUGAAGACCAGGGGCUGAGAGGUUUGUGGAAUAGAAACAGGUGACCGGGAGCUCCACCAGGAGCUCAACUGGGAUCGGGAGCUCCACCGGGACCGGGAGCUCCACCGGGAUCACCGAGCGCUGUGACUUAUGGGUACUCUUCCGACCCGACACUAGAGCACAGAGAAAGACAGUUCUCUGGCAGUUUUGUGUUGAAGGUGAACGACCCUGGGAUUGGAUGCCGAAUGAAACAAACAUCUUCAUAUUCGAGUUAUAGGCUGGGACAAUCAUAUGGACCUCAUAAAUGGAAAGCAUUUCAAGUAUUCAAGUAACCUCAAACCAUAAUAGUAGUAGUAGUAACAAACACAGUGACAUCCCUUGUGACUUGUACGACAAAUCAAAAUACUACCAGAGAAAUAAUAAUAAUACUAACAGAGAGAAAAUACCCACUGACCAUCCAGCAGGCUGUUUUGUAGCGUGGGGUACUGCUGAAGGAGGUGGUCCCUGAAUACACAGCUCCAGAACAACUUAAUGCUGUGAGGUCUCUCUGUCUCCAGCCAGUCCAGCACCUUGUACACGCCCUUCCCAGUGAGCAAAAUUCAAUUGAAAAGACGUCUAUCAGCUAACCACAUCAUAUGUUAUAGCAUUCUGGUGCCCGACAUUACAGUGGACGAUGUGGCAUGCAAAAAUUGGUUGAUGCAUGCAACAUCUGAGCAGGGGAACACAACCCAGACUGGGGCAGUCCGGACUGGACAAAGUCCGAACUAAUCAUAGACAUCUACUGUACACUACAGGUCAAAAGUUUUAGAACACCUACUCAUUCAAGGCUUUUUCUUUAUUUUUACUAUUUUCUACAUUGUAGAAUACUAGUGAAGACGCCAAAACAAUGAAAUAACACAUAUGGAAUCAUGUAGUAACCAAAAAAGUGUUAAACAAAUCAAAAAUAUAUUUCAUCUUUGAGAUUCUUUCAAUAGCCACCCUUUGCCUUGAUGACAGCUUUGCACACUCUAGGCAUUCACUCAACCAGCUUCAUGAGGAAGGCACCUGGAAUGCAUUUCAAUUAACAGUUGUGCCUUCUUAAAAGUUAAUUUGUGGAAUUAAUUUCCUUCUUAAUGCGUUUGAGCCAAUCAGUUGUGUUGUGACAAGGUGGGGAUAGGUCAUACAGAAGAUAGCCCUAUUUGGUAAAAUACCAAGUCCAUAUUAUGGCAUGAACAGCUCAAAUAAGCAAAGAGAAACGACACUCCAUCAUUACUUUAAGACAUGAAGGUCAGUCAAUACGGAAUAUUUCAAGAACUUUUAAAGUUUAUUAAAGUGCACUUUCAAAAACCACCAAGCACUAUGAUGAAACUGGCUCUCAUGAGGACCGCCACAGGAAUGGAAGACCCAGAGUUACCUCUGCUGCAGAGGACAAGUUCAUUAGAGUUACCAGCCUCAGAAAUUGCAGCCCAAAUAAAUGCUUCACAGAGCUUAGGUAAGAUACACAUCUCAACAUAAACCGUUCAGAGGACUGUGUGAAUCAGGCCUUCAUGGUCAAAUUGCUGCAAAAAACACUACUAAAGGACACCAAUAAGAAGAAGAGACUUGCUUGGGCCAAGAAACACGAGCAAUGGACAUUAGACCGGUGGAAAUUUGUCCUUUGGUCUGGAGUCAACAUUUUGAGAUUUUUGGUUCUAACUGCUGUGUCUUUGUGAGACGCGGUGUGGGGAAUGGACAAUCUCCGCAUGUGUAUUUCCCACUGUAAAGCAUGGAGGAGGAAGUGUUAUGGUGUGGGGGUGCUUUGCUGGUGACACUGUCUGUGAUUUACUUAGAAUUCAAGGCACAGGCCUCCCAGGUGGCGCAGUGGUCUAGGGCACUGCAUCGCAGCGCUAGCUGCGCCACCAGAGACUCUGGGUUCGCGCCCAAGCUCUGUCGCAGCCGGCCGCGACCGGGAGGUCCGUGGGGCGACGCGCAAUUGGCCUAGCGUCGUCUGGGUUAGGGAGGGUUUGGCCGGUAGGGAUAUCCUUGUCUCAUCGUGCACCAGCGACUCCUGUGGUGGGCUGGGCGCAGUGCGCGCUAACCAAGGGGGCCAGGUGCACGGUGUUUCCUCCGACACAUUGGUGCGGCUGGCUUCCGGGUUGGAUGCGCGCUGUGUUAAGAAGCAGUGCGGCUUGGUUGGGUUGUGUUUCGGAGGACGCACGGCUUUCGGCCUUCGUCUCUCCCGAGCCCGUACAGGAGUUGUAGUGAUGAGACAAGAUAGUAACUACUAACAAUUGGAUACCAUGAAAUUGGGGAGAAAAGGUGGUAAAAUAAAAAAUAAUACAAAAAAAUUAAAAAGAAUUCAAGGCACAGCAUUCUGCAGCGAUACGCCAUGACAUCUGGUUUGGGCUUAGUGGGACUAUCAUUUGUUUUUCAACAGGACAAUGACCCAACACCGCCAGGCUGUGUAAGGGCUAUUUGACCAAGAAGGAGAGUGAUGGAGUGCUGCAUCAGAUGACCUGGCCUCCACAAUCACCUGACCUCAACCAAAUUGAGAUGGUUUGGGAUGAGUCGGACCGCAGAGUGAAGGAAAAGCAGCCAACAAGUGCUCAGCAUAUGUGGGAACGCCUUCAAGUCUGUUGGAAAAGCAUUCCAGGUGAAGCUGGUUGCCAAGAGUGUGCAAAGCUGUCAUCAAGGCAAAGGGUGGCUAUUUGAAGAAUCUCAAAUAUAAAAUUGGUUACUACAUGAUUCCAUAUGUGUUAUUUCAUAGUUUUGAUGUCUUCACUAUUAUUCUACAAUGUAGAAUAUAGUAAAAUAAAGAAAAACCCUUGAAUGAGUAGGUGUUCUAAAACUUUGACCGGUAUAGUAGAGUGCAGUACAGUAAAGUAUAGUAGAGUACAGUAGGGUAUGGACAUUUUUGGUAUAGGGACACGUCAUCUCCACUUUCGAGUCUGUCCGACCAGGGCCGGCGUCAUGGGCAGCCCCGUUAUGGGUGGCGCGCGUCUCGUCAUUUAUUUGACCGAGACGCGCGCCGACAGAAAGACGCAUAAAUCUCAAAUAAAGCAUCCGUGCUUGUGAAACAGUGUCCCUCUGGUUAGUAGACCAUGUAUCUUGUGCUGUCUGGACAAAAGGAGUAUGGCAUGUCAUACUUUUUCUGGCCAGACAGCAUCAGACACACGGGCUACAUAGUAAGAUAGAGGGGCGCUGUUUCGCUUGCUAGUUUCAGCAGAGAGAAAGAGGCGAUGCGAGAGGGCUCACUCUCUACAAAAUCUGAUCUGAAUAAGUCCAAUGCAUUUCUAUGGGCAUAAGCAGACCUAAGCUUGUCACCUGCAUUCCCGCCUUUGGGACAACGACAGGGCAGGGAUAUGAGCAUCUCAUAAUUAUAUACAGAGCCACUUGUGUCAUUAUAUUUCAGCCUCUUGCGAAUUAGAAAGGAAAGUUGACGAGUGCACAGUACACUGUUCGUAUGCUGGCUUCCCCUAAAUUAAAAUGAUGUUUUGACAAAAUUAUAUAAUUAUUCCUGUCUAAAUAAAAUCAUUCAAAAUACUUUACCAGAGAGUUUGACUUAGCCACAGAUGAUCAUUAGCUUAUUUUUUUAUUUUUUAAAUAGCUGUGGAUAGACCUGUCUAUUUGGGAAACCAGCCAUUUGGGCAGCACGCAUGGCAAUAGGCCUAGUUGAUUAUUGAGUUGAGGCUGUCAGUGAAAAGCAUCUAAUAUGUGUGAAGAUAAUGUGUCUUGAGUAUAAUUUAAAAUGUUAAGACAAGAAGAAGGGGAGGGGUGUGUGGCGAAGAUAUGAGCGUCUCUCUCUCAAAAUGCAUGCACUCAGCUCUCCAGAAUGUGCUCCGCUGUCUCCCACCAAUUCUUGCGCAUUCAUGGUUUCAUUGUGUGAGUUGUUUGCCCUUUGAUUGUUUAUUUUGAUCAAUUCCCCGUUACAUAUGUCACCAGUAGGCCUAGUAAAUGUACCGUUAAUCCCUGUAAUUUGGUUACAUUAAUUUCUGUUAACACAUGUAUUAGAGUCAUUUACCUUUAUCAUUCUCAGAGCGGAAACGUUGUUUGCAGAGUUCACAGCCUGCUACACUUGUGAGAAACAAGUUUUGGUUAAUUUCAUAACCAUCAUUUAGGAGUUUUAUCAUUUUUUUCAUUGUCUUUUGUUUGGAGUGCUCCAUGUGAGUAAUGAGCAUGUGUGUGGUUUCUCUGUCCUGAUGACUUUGAGAGAUUGUAUGAGCCUGAGCACCCCAACCUGCUGAGUUGAUACAAUGUUGCAUGAUAGCUCAAGUCAAGACAAAGAGAAAGGGAGGCAGACAGGCUGAGUAUAGUGAUUCAUGCGAUUGAAAGAACCUGCAUUUUCAUCAGGAUAUUUUUAGACUGUUUUUAUUUGUCGGCUUUAGGCCUAUGUAUUUAACUUAGUUGACAAUAGAAGUUAUAGGCCUACUGCUGCAUUAGCCUAUCGCCUAGGCUAUGUCCCUGAGUUCCAUGUGCUAAUUUCUUUAGCCGCAAAUGAACCUGUCACACCCUGAUCUGUUUCACCUGUCUUUGUGCUUAUCUCCACCCCCUUCCAGGUGUCGCCCAUCUUCUCCAUUAUCCCCAGUGCAUUUAUACCUGUGUUCUCUGUUUGUUUGUUGCCAGUUCGUCGUGUCUCGUCAAGCGUACCAGCGAGGAUUUUUUCCGUGCUCCUGGUUUUUCUAGUCCUCCCGGUUCCGACCUUUUCUGCCACCCUGUUUCCUCGGACUCUGACCUGGUUAAUGAACCUCUGCCUGUCCUCAACCUGCCUAUUGCCUGCCUCUUGUAUUUAAUAAAUAUUAGAGACUCAAA
Long non-coding RNA from Salvelinus fontinalis (brook trout), 5072 nucleotides. RefSeq lists it as uncharacterized. Lineage: Eukaryota; Metazoa; Chordata; Actinopteri; Salmoniformes; Salmonidae. The record is from RefSeq and is a predicted model, not a curated record. The transcript has 3 exons.